Molecule: ribosomal RNA, 348 nt
Filed under: Triticum aestivum (bread wheat)
Lineage: Eukaryota; Viridiplantae; Streptophyta; Magnoliopsida; Poales; Poaceae
Description: partial small subunit ribosomal RNA
Source: RNAcentral
AUGUAUGUAACCGAUGAUCAUGAUCUGGACAAUUUGCAUCCGCCUUUCGCUAGCGCUUCGGAAUGCAGCAGCAGCAUUGUUGCACUUUUUGCGGUGAAAACUGAGAAAAAAGCCUUGGCUGGUGGCUUUCUUGGGGUUUGGAACCUGGGGAAUGGGAGGCGUGUUGCGGUGCUGUACACCUUUGGGCCAGUUGACUCUGAAAGAUGCGACAAUGACACAGGAGGGGCUGCGUCCAUCAGUGUCAGCACAUUGUCUUUUUACCCGUGUCCUGCCGCGCUGUGCAUGCACAGCGAAACGGCCACACGCAAUGGCAGAUGGGCGCAGAAGACUGGGGCAACACGCGGGUAG